Molecule: ribosomal RNA, 253 nt
Filed under: uncultured bacterium
Lineage: Bacteria
Description: partial 16S ribosomal RNA
Rfam family: Bacterial small subunit ribosomal RNA
Source: RNAcentral
UACGAAGGGGGCUAGCGUUGCUCGGAAUCACUGGGCGUAAAGCGCACGUAGGCGGCUUCGCAAGUCGGAUGUGAAAUCCCUCGGCUCAACCGAGGACGUGCAUACGAAACUGCGAAGCUUGAGUACUGAAGAGGAUCGCGGAAUUCCCGGUGUAGAGGUGAAAUUCGUAGAUAUCGGGAGGAACACCAGUGGCGAAGGCGGCGAUCUGGGCAGAUACUGACGCUGAGGUGCGAAAGCGUGGGGAGCAAACAGG